AUAGAAUGAGAUUUUAUGACAGUACCAUUGAUGUAAUAGAAUGAGAUUUUAUGACAGUACCAAUGAAGUAAUAGAAUGAGAUUUUCCAGUAUAUUUUUGCUAUGAAUAGGUUUACUAUUUGUUAAAAAUACUCCUUUGAAAAGAUGAAAUUCUGUAUAAAGUCAAUAGUUAAUUGGACAUCCAAAGUGAACAAGGGCAAGUUCAUUAUUUGAAUAAAUUGAACACACGGUAUGGAAGGAUAAAUUAGUUUUUCAUAAUACAGAAAAUCUUAUCCAUGUCAAAGUAGCAUCAAUUAAGAAUCAUACAGAUUGUACUAAUUUUAAUCAAUACAAUGAGUUGAAUUUUUUGCAGAUAAAUUCUGAAAUACCUUUAACAUACGUUUACGCAAGUUAUUAAAAACAGUUGUCCUAUUAAAAAAAAAUCUAUUUUUCACUAUAAUUUUGCUGUUAUAAUUCCAAUUAAAGGCAAAUGAAAGCAGAGGUCUAAUAAAGUUACAAUUUAACCAAUCUAGUACUUUUUUUAUCAUUAAAGGGUAAUUUGAUUAUAUUUAGGCAAGAUAAUUUACCUCACAAAAUCUUGUCAUGGUCUAAGUAAGCAAAAAAGAGGAUGAACUGAAUUGGUAGUUCACAAAACCAUGACAAUAUUUUUUAAGAAAUAACACAAUUUAUGUAUUGGAACCUAGAAAACUAUUCAUUUAAUUUGUACUUUGGUUCCACUUUUACAGUUUUCUGCAAGGUUAUUAUUGUCAUUAAAACAAUAAUUCUUUUAAAAGCAUG
Molecule: long non-coding RNA, 776 nt
Filed under: Mytilus galloprovincialis (Mediterranean mussel)
Lineage: Eukaryota; Metazoa; Mollusca; Bivalvia; Mytilida; Mytilidae
Source: RNAcentral